GCGAAUCCCAAAAAUAAACGUCCCAGUUCGGAUUGCAGUCUGCAACUCGACUGCAUGAAGCUGGAAUCGCUAGUAAUCGCGAAUCAGAAUGUCGCGGUGAAUACGUUCCCGGGUCUUGUACACACCGCCCGUCACACCAUGGGAGUUGGGAAUGCCCGAAGCCGGUGACCUAACCGAAAGGGAGGAGCCGUCGAAGGCAGGCUUGAUAACUGGGGUGAAGUCGUAACAAGGUAGC
Molecule: ribosomal RNA, 235 nt
Filed under: uncultured bacterium
Lineage: Bacteria
Description: partial 16S ribosomal RNA
Rfam family: Bacterial small subunit ribosomal RNA
Source: RNAcentral